CUUUGGAGGUUGUGCCCUUUGAGGCGUGGCUUCCGGAGCUAACGCGUUAAGUCGACCGCCUGGGGAGUACGGCCGCAAGGUUAAAACUCAAAUGAAUUGACGGGGGCCCGCACAAGCGGUGGAGCAUGUGGUUUAAUUCGAUGCAACGCGAAGAACCUUACCUACUCUUGACAUCCAGAGAACUUAGCAGAGAUGCUUUGGUGCCUUCGGGAACUCUGAGACAGGUGCUGCAUGGCUGUCGUCAGCUCGUGUUGUGAAAUGUUGGGUUAAGUCCCGCAACGAGCGCAACCCUUAUCCUUUGUUGCCAGCGGUUCGGCCGGGAACUCAAAGGAGACUGCCAGUGAUAAACUGGAGGAAGGUGGGGAUGACGUCAAGUCAUCAUGGCCCUUACGAGUAGGGCUACACACGUGCUACAAUGGCAUAUACAAAGAGAAGCGACCUCGCGAGAGCAAGCGGACCUCAUAAAGUAUGUCGUAGUCCGGAUUGG
Molecule: ribosomal RNA, 487 nt
Filed under: Citrobacter sp.
Lineage: Bacteria; Pseudomonadati; Pseudomonadota; Gammaproteobacteria; Enterobacterales; Enterobacteriaceae
Description: bacterial SSU rRNA
Rfam family: Bacterial small subunit ribosomal RNA
Source: RNAcentral